This 341-nucleotide RNase P RNA is filed under the name Tongtianella jiaweipingae. Its description in RNAcentral is "Actinomyces sp. zg-332 RNase P RNA component class A". It matches the Rfam family "Bacterial RNase P class A". From Rfam's summary of the family: Ribonuclease P (RNase P) is a ubiquitous endoribonuclease, found in archaea, bacteria and eukarya as well as chloroplasts and mitochondria. The record is from RNAcentral. Lineage: Bacteria; Bacillati; Actinomycetota; Actinomycetes; Actinomycetales; Actinomycetaceae.
CGAGUUGACUGGGUGAUUGCGUGUAUCUUUAUAUACGAGGAACGUCCGGGCUCCACAAAAGCACAGUGGUGGGUAACGCCCACUCAGGGUGACCUGCAGGAAAGUGCCACAGAAAAUAAACCGCCUGAUUUUAGGUAAGGGUGAAAAGGUGAGGUAAGAGCUCACCGCAUAACUGGUGACAGUUAUGGCAUGGUAAACCCCACUGGGAGCAAGACCAAGUAAGCAUACGUUUGAGUUAGCUUUUGACGAGUAUGUGGGUAGGUUGCUUGAGGUUUUUAACCCUAGAUAGAUGAUCACCGCCUUUUUAGGUACAGAACCCGGCGUAUAGGUCGACUUAGCGU